RNAcentral lists this ribosomal RNA (1013 nucleotides) under Pseudarthrobacter defluvii. RNAcentral describes it as "bacterial SSU rRNA". It matches the Rfam family "Bacterial small subunit ribosomal RNA", at positions 405 to 1429 of the family's 1533-position model. Lineage: Bacteria; Bacillati; Actinomycetota; Actinomycetes; Micrococcales; Micrococcaceae. The record is from RNAcentral.
UGUAGGGGUGCCUUCGGGUGUAAACUCUUUCAGUAGGGAAGAAGCGUAAGUGACGGUACCUGCAGAAGAAGCGCCGGCUAACUACGUGCCAGCAGCCGCGGUAAUACGUAGGGCGCAAGCGUUAUCCGGAAUUAUUGGGCGUAAAGAGCUCGUAGGCGGUUUGUCGCGUCUGCCGUGAAAGUCCGGGGCUCAACUCCGGAUCUGCGGUGGGUACGGGCAGACUAGAGUGAUGUAGGGGAGACUGGAAUUCCUGGUGUAGCGGUGAAAUGCGCAGAUAUCAGGAGGAACACCGAUGGCGAAGGCAGGUCUCUGGGCAUUAACUGACGCUGAGGAGCGAAAGCAUGGGGAGCGAACAGGAUUAGAUACCCUGGUAGUCCAUGCCGUAAACGUUGGGCACUAGGUGUGGGGGACAUUCCACGUUUUCCGCGCCGUAGCUAACGCAUUAAGUGCCCCGCCUGGGGAGUACGGCCGCAAGGCUAAAACUCAAAGGAAUUGACGGGGGCCCGCACAAGCGGCGGAGCAUGCGGAUUAAUUCGAUGCAACGCGAAGAACCUUACCAAGGCUUGACAUGAACCGGACCGGGCUGGAAACAGUCUUUCCCCUUGUGGGCUGGUUUACAGGUGGUGCAUGGUUGUCGUCAGCUCGUGUCGUGAGAUGUUGGGUUAAGUCCCGCAACGAGCGCAACCCUCGUUCUAUGUUGCCAGCACGUGAUGGUGGGGACUCAUAGGAGACUGCCGGGGUCAACUCGGAGGAAGGUGGGGACGACGUCAAAUCAUCAUGCCCCUUAUGUCUUGGGCUUCACGCAUGCUACAAUGGCCGGUACAAAGGGUUGCGAUACUGUGAGGUGGAGCUAAUCCCAAAAAGCCGGUCUCAGUUCGGAUUGGGGUCUGCAACUCGACCCCAUGAAGUCGGAGUCGCUAGUAAUCGCAGAUCAGCAACGCUGCGGUGAAUACGUUCCCGGGCCUUGUACACACCGCCCGUCAAGUCACGAAAGUUGGUAACACCCGAAGUAC